RNAcentral lists this ribosomal RNA (650 nucleotides) under uncultured bacterium. RNAcentral's name for it is "bacterial SSU rRNA". It matches the Rfam family "Bacterial small subunit ribosomal RNA", at positions 46 to 690 of the family's 1533-position model. The record is from RNAcentral.
GCCUAACACAUGCAAGUCGAGCGGUAACAGAAAGUAGCUUGCUAUUUUGCUGUCGAGCGGCGGACGGGUGAGUAAUGCUUGGGAACAUACCUUGAGGUGGGGGACAACAGUUGGAAACGACUGCUAAUACCGCAUAAUGUCUACGGACCAAAGGGGGCUUAGGCUCUCGCCUUUAGAUUGGCCCAAGUGGGAUUAGCUAGUUGGUGAGGUAAUGGCUCACCAAGGCAACGAUCCCUAGCUGGUUUGAGAGGAUGAUCAGCCACACUGGAACUGAGACACGGUCCAGACUCCUACGGGAGGCAGCAGUGGGGAAUAUUGCACAAUGGGCGAAAGCCUGAUGCAGCCAUGCCGCGUGUGUGAAGAAGGCCUUCGGGUUGUAAAGCACUUUCAGUCAGGAGGAAAGGGUGUGAGUUAAUACCUCACAUCUGUGACGUUACUGACAGAAGAAGCACCGGCUAACUCCGUGCCAGCAGCCGCGGUAAUACGGAGGGUGCGAGCGUUAAUCGGAAUUACUGGGCGUAAAGCGUACGCAGGCGGUUUGUUAAGCGAGAUGUGAAAGCCCCGGGCUCAACCUGGGAACUGCAUUUCGAACUGGCAAACUAGAGUGUGAUAGAGGGGUGGUAGAAUUUCAGGUGUAGCGGUGAAAUGCG